UACGUAGGGGGCAAGCGUUGUCCGGAUUUACUGGGCGUAAAGCGCACGUAGGCGGAUCGUUAAGUCGGGGUGAAAUCCUGGAGCUCAACUCCAGAACUGCCUUCGAUACUGGCGAUCUUGAGUCCGGAAGAGGUGAGUGGAACUCCUAGUGUAGAGGUGGAAUUCGUAGAUAUUAGGAAGAACACCAGUGGCGAAGGCGGCUCACUGGUCCGGUACUGACGCUGAGGUGCGAAAGCGUGGGGAGCAAACAGG
Molecule: ribosomal RNA, 252 nt
Filed under: uncultured bacterium
Lineage: Bacteria
Description: partial 16S ribosomal RNA
Rfam family: Bacterial small subunit ribosomal RNA
Source: RNAcentral